Molecule: microRNA, 22 nt
Filed under: Homo sapiens (human)
Lineage: Eukaryota; Metazoa; Chordata; Mammalia; Primates; Hominidae
Description: hsa-miR-4755-5p
Source: miRBase by way of RNAcentral
UUUCCCUUCAGAGCCUGGCUUU